This 497-nucleotide ribosomal RNA is filed under the name uncultured bacterium. RNAcentral's name for it is "partial 16S ribosomal RNA". It matches the Rfam family "Bacterial small subunit ribosomal RNA", at positions 28 to 507 of the family's 1533-position model. The record is from RNAcentral.
GUUGAACGCUGGCGGCGUGCCUAAUACAUGCAAGUCGAGCGAACAGACGAGGAGCUUGCUCCUCUGACGUUAGCGGCGGACGGGUGAGUAACACGUGGAUAACCUACCUAUAAGACUGGGAUAACUUCGGGAAACCGGAGCUAAUACCGGAUAAUAUAUUGAACCGCAUGGUUCAAUAGUGAAAGACGGUUUUGCUGUCACUUAUAGAUGGAUCCGCGCCGCAUUAGCUAGUUGGUAAGGUAACGGCUUACCAAGGCGACGAUGCGUAGCCGACCUGAGAGGAUGAUCGGCCACACUGGAACUGAGACACGGUCCAGACUCCUACGGGAGGCAGCAGUAGGGAAUCUUCCGCAAUGGGCGAAAGCCUGACGGAGCAACGCCGCGUGAGUGAUGAAGGUCUUCGGAUCGUAAAACUCUGUUAGUAGGGAAGAACAAAUGUGUAAGUAACUAUGCACGUCUUGACGGUACCUAAUCAGAAAGCCACGGCUAACUACGUG